AGCGAACGCUGGCGGCAGGCUUAACACAUGCAAGUCGAGCGCCCGUAGCAAUACGGGAGCGGCAGACGGGUGAGUAACACGUGGGAACGUGCCUUUCGGUUCGGAACAACCCAGGGAAACUUGGGCUAAUACCGGAUACGCCCUUACGGGGAAAGAUUUAUCGCCGAAAGAUCGGCCCGCGUCUGAUUAGCUAGUUGGUGGGGUAAUGGCUCACCAAGGCGACGAUCAGUAGCUGGUCUGAGAGGAUGAUCAGCCACACUGGGACUGAGACACGGCCCAGACUCCUACGGGAGGCAGCAGUGGGGAAUCUUGCGCAAUGCGCGAAAGCGUGACGCAGCAACGCCGCGUGGGGGAAGAAGCCUU
This 363-nucleotide ribosomal RNA is filed under the name uncultured bacterium. RNAcentral describes it as "bacterial SSU rRNA". It matches the Rfam family "Bacterial small subunit ribosomal RNA", at positions 29 to 417 of the family's 1533-position model. The record is from RNAcentral.